RNAcentral lists this ribosomal RNA (254 nucleotides) under uncultured bacterium. RNAcentral's name for it is "partial 16S ribosomal RNA". It matches the Rfam family "Bacterial small subunit ribosomal RNA", at positions 526 to 779 of the family's 1533-position model. The record is from RNAcentral.
CGGAGGAUCCGAGCGUUAUCCGGAUUUAUUGGGUUUAAAGGGUGCGUAGGCGGACUAGUAAGUCAGUGGUGAAAUCCUGCAGCUUAACUGUAGAAUUGCCGUUGAUACUGUUAGUCUUGAGUACAUUUGAGGUAGGCGGAAUGUGGUGUGUAGCGGUGAAAUGCAUAGAUAUACCACAGAACACCGAUUGCGAAGGCAGCUUACUAAACUGUAACUGACGCUGAGGCACGAAAGCGUGGGUAUCAAACAGGAUU